RNAcentral lists this transfer RNA (75 nucleotides) under Bacillota bacterium. RNAcentral's name for it is "Firmicutes bacterium (sediment metagenome) tRNA-Val". It matches the Rfam family "tRNA". From Rfam's summary of the family: Transfer RNA (tRNA) molecules are approximately 80 nucleotides in length. Their secondary structure includes four short double-helical elements and three loops (D, anti-codon, and T loops). The record is from RNAcentral. Lineage: Bacteria; Bacillati; Bacillota.
GGGCGAGUAGCUCAGCGGGAGAGCAUCCGGUUUACACCCGGAAGGUCGCAGGUUCGAUCCCUGCCUCGCCCACCA